CCUACGGGUGGCAGCAGUGGGGAAUAUUGCACAAUGGGGGGAACCCUGAUGCAGCAACGCCGCGUGAAGGAAGACGGUUUUCGGAUUGUAAACUUCUAUCAAUAGGGAAGAAAGAAUUGACGGUACCUAAAUAAGAAGCCCCGGCUAACUACGUUCCAGCCGCCGCGGUAAUACGUAGGGGGCAAGGGUUAUCCGGAUUUACUGGGGGUAAGGGGUGCGCAGGCGGUCUGUUAAGUCAGCGGUAAAAGCCCGGGGCUCAACCCCGGCCCGCCGUUGAAACUGGCAGUCUCGAGUUGGAGAGAAGGAUGCGGAAUGCGCGGUGUAGCGGUGAAAUGCAUAGAUAUCGCGCAGAACUCCGAUUGCGAAGGCAGCAUGCCGGCUCCACACUGACGCUGAGGCACGAAAGCGUGGGUAUCGAACAGGAUUAGAUACCCGUGUAGUC
This 442-nucleotide ribosomal RNA is filed under the name uncultured bacterium. Its description in RNAcentral is "partial 16S ribosomal RNA". It matches the Rfam family "Bacterial small subunit ribosomal RNA", at positions 338 to 795 of the family's 1533-position model. The record is from RNAcentral.